CCUACGGGGGGCAGCAGUAGGGAAUUUUCCGCAAUGGGCGAAAGCCUGACGGAGCAAUACCGCGUGAGGGAUGACUGCCUAUGGGUUGUAAACCUCUUUUUUCAGGGAGGAAUAAAUGACGUGUACCUGAAGAAUAAGCAUCGGCUAACUCCGUGCCAGCAGCCGCGGUAAGACGGAGGAUGCAAGUGUUAUCCGGAAUCACUGGGCGUAAAGCGUCUGUAGGUGGCUCGACAAGUCAACUGUUAAAUCUUGAAGCUCAACUUCAAAAUCGCAGUCGAAACUAUCGGACUAGAGUAUAGUAGAGGUAAAGGGAAUUUCCAGUGGAGCGGUGAAAUGCGUAGAGAUUGGAAAGAACACCGAUGGCGAAGGCACUUUACUGGGCUAUUACUGACACUCAGAGACGAAAGCUAGGGUAGCAAAUGGGAUUAGAUACCCCAGUAGUC
This 443-nucleotide ribosomal RNA is filed under the name uncultured bacterium. Its description in RNAcentral is "bacterial SSU rRNA". It matches the Rfam family "Bacterial small subunit ribosomal RNA", at positions 338 to 795 of the family's 1533-position model. The record is from RNAcentral.